Carassius carassius (crucian carp) is the source of this 1308-nucleotide long non-coding RNA. RefSeq lists it as uncharacterized. The transcript is spliced from 2 exons. Lineage: Eukaryota; Metazoa; Chordata; Actinopteri; Cypriniformes; Cyprinidae. The record is from RefSeq and is a predicted model, not a curated record.
GGAAGCAUGAAAUCCUGAUUCAUCAAAACUAAAUGAGCUGAUCCCAUCCGUCUCAUAGAUCUAAGGCAGAACUGACGGAAGUGCAAAGUGGAGAAAUGACACGCAGAAGAGGACAGAGAGGCCAGAGAGAGAGUAUAAGGGGUAUUGAUUGACUGCAUUCACCUCCAUCUCACUGUUGUCCACUUCCUUUUUGUUCGGUCCUAGUGAUCAUCCUUUCCCUCUCUCUCUCUUUCGCUGUGGACAUGUUUUGCUCAUUUAACUUCAUUACAGUGGCUGACAGCCAGAAAGUCAACAAAACAGUGCACAGCCUGGUAUGAUCACCUGCAGACCCCCGUCCCUCCCCCAACGGGCCCAUCUCGGCCCCUCCUGGGUUAUUCAGGCCCGUUUCCCUGCAGUCCAUUGCUCAAUUGCAUUGAUAACAAUCUGACAGGUCGCAGCAGAAGCCAGGAUACAUUGUCCCUCCUUCUCGCCGGCAAACCCGUUCAGCAAGGUCACCAAUCCCCAACUGACAGCCCAACUGCCAGCUACAAACUGCUUCCAAAUGAAAGAAUUUCUCUGAAGUGUCGAGCAUGCCUGUCUGCCAGCCUCUUUCUGAAAGGAGGAGAGGAAGCAGGCCACCACUGAGAAAAAGUCCAGGCAUUCUUCCAGCAGAAUUCAAAAUCAACAAAGCAACAUUUCAACCCCCAUAAAGAACCUCCGUGAGUCAACAUUUGCACAAAGCUGAAUGUCCGAUCCAUACUUACCCACGGGACUGGGGUGAAUGUCAACGUUAUGGUUAUGAGUUAUUUAUAAGAUCCCAUAAUACCUUGUUCAUUAUACAUGAAGUCGUCAAUCUGGAAUGAGGAAUUGAAAAACUGCAGUUCCAUAUUAAGGCCCUGACAUAAACCAUACGUUGAAUGUUUUACCCCUCAGCAGGUUUACAAAUAGAUGGACUAGGGCAUGCUGGGAUUGAGGACUGCAUUUUUCGAAGGUAAUUUAAGUCGUUUUUGUUUAGCUGUAUUAAAAAUGCAUGAAAAGCUCAAGGAGCGGCUUUAAGGCUUGUUUCGUUGCUGAGAAGUUGCAGUUUUUAAAUUUAGAGAUGCUGUUACUGCUGGUCUCACUUUUAGACCAACUCAUAGCUGUCUGUCCUGACAUCAAAUAUUUAUUCUAUAUUUGCUUUUAGGGGUCACAAGGGAAGCAAAAUGUCAUAUUUAAGAACAUUGUUUUGUAACAGUCUAACUCUAACAGCUAUCCCUAUGCGGAGCACCUAAUUGUAUGUAUCUGGCAGUUAACUAGUAUUAAAGCAGUUGGUUUUGCUUCAGACUUUAA